UGUAUGUGUGUGUGUGUGUGUUUGUAUGUGUGUGUGUGUGUGUGUGUGUGUGUUCGCCUGCGCGCGCGUCAUUUGCUGUCUCCACCUGUUUGACGCGUCUCGCUCUCGGCUCAUUAUCAUUAAUGGCAGAUUGUUUUUUGUUCUUCCCCAGCGGGCUUGUCCAAACAGGCGCCAGGGUCGUCUGAAGCGGUUUCAACGGCUUGUGGCGAACGCUCUCACCGGUCGUGAUGUAAACAUGAUUUCAGGUCGGUGCGCCGGUCAGUGUGGAAGCCUCCGUGAGAGACGGGAAAUCCUCCUCCUGUUGCUCAGCCCUUCCACACAGAGAUCAAAGGUGAAAGAACGGGACAAACGACCUCAGAGCCGCUCGGGGAUGGACCGGACCGUCCUCCGCGGACCCUUGACCCUGUGUCCCUGCAGUCAAAUCACUGUCUCCCGACCUGCAGCCCCCGUGUGAGCUGCACACUCGACAUCCCCUGCACAAGAGGAACCGCGGACAUCACUGUCUCGAAGGAGUGUCGAAUGUGGAUGAGCGACGGUUCCACAGAAGCCUCGGAAAGCCUCUUCCCCUGAAUUAUGAUUUACACAAUACUUUUGCCAUUGGUCAACAUUUGAUUUCACAACUGAAAAGCGUGUGCUGUUGAUGCUGCCGCCCGCCGAAGCCUCCGACUCCUCAACCAGUUUGUCGAGUUACACUUGAUCCGAUAACAGUGAGGCCAAAUUUGAUUCUGUUUGAUUUGAUUCUUAAUGCACUCGUAAACAGUUAUGUUGGGAAUUUCAACCAUUCCGCUCCAGUUCAGUAAAAUAAAUAUUUUUUUUAUUCACUCUUACAAUACAGCCUAUUUACGAACAGAGCUUUUCACUCCCACGGCACUUAAACAGAAACAAGAGGGGUCAACCAAGACACACAUGCGCUUCUUCGAAAAACACCCCAAAAAAAGGGAAAAAUGACAAUUCCAAGGGAGCGUACAAAAGUAUGACUCCUACACAUAAAUAAAUAUCAUGGUUGUGUUUCCACCUCAUACUUUCACACUUUU
This is a long non-coding RNA of Scophthalmus maximus (turbot), 1034 nucleotides long. RefSeq lists it as uncharacterized. The transcript is spliced from 3 exons. NCBI's taxonomy places the organism in Eukaryota, Metazoa, Chordata, Actinopteri, Pleuronectiformes, Scophthalmidae. The record is from RefSeq and is a predicted model, not a curated record.